CAUUAAUUAGACUUCAUUUUGCAUGCUUACUAUUUUACCAGUAAGAAUUAUAUUGAGAUUUGAAAGCCAUUGUUUUCAACUACAUAAAGCCUGCAUGGGUAGUAGCAUUACAACUUUAUUAUUUUUCCAAGGUCUCUGCGAGACAUCGAGUCAUUCAGCAUGGGCAAGCAGUACAUGUAAAAAGAAGGCGCCGCUUUUUGGGUGUACUAUUUGUCCACGUGGAAUGGCUGGAAGUGCUGCAGGUAUCUUGGGAUAUCUAAUAAAGUUGUGACGUUAUUUCGGUGCUGUUUCUAUAAAGUGCAGCUUGCUUAUGGCUAUAUGCGUUAGCCUAAAAAAUUAAAUUAUUUUUCAAAUAAAACGUUAAGUGCUGUUUCCAUAAAAAAGACGGCUUACUUCUGGCCUUAGCCAAAAAAUAACAACUAGGGUUUUACUAUAGGGGUCGAGGGCAUUGCCCCAUAUUUGGGAUGUUUGCGCACACAUCAACAUUUGUGCUUCAGUAUGGGAAAGGACGAAACUGCUACUAUAUGGCCAUAUUAUAGUGCUGUUUCUAUAAUGGCAGUGAUUGCCUUUGCUAUACGCUUAAUUAAGCUUUCGAAAUGGACAGCACAGUUUACUGAUAUUUCAAAUUUAGAAAAACCUUAGAUUCACUGCCUAUGUGUGUUUUAGUUACAAUAAAGUGCCAUUCAUGGCUUAGGUGUAUAAGUGUAUAUACGUUCUAUAAAACUAUGCAGUAGUUUUACCCAAGUAUAUAUAUACAGGGUUAUUAAUACAUGCUAAAAGUUUCUGUUUUGUAAGUGGGG
Non-coding RNA from Paramuricea clavata, 800 nucleotides. The record is from the annotation of a GenBank genome assembly. NCBI's taxonomy places the organism in Eukaryota, Metazoa, Cnidaria, Anthozoa, Malacalcyonacea, Plexauridae.